AUUGAACGCUGGCGGAAUGCUUUACACAUGCAAGUCGAACGGCAGCACGGACUUCGGUCUGGUGGCGAGUGGCGAACGGGUGAGUAAUGUAUCGGAACGUGCCCAGUCGUGGGGGAUAACGUAGUGAAAAUUACGCUAAUACCGCAUACGAUCUAUGGAUGAAAGCGGGGGAUCGCAAGACCUCGCGCGAUUGGAGCGGCCGAUAUCAGAUUAGGUAGUUGGUGGGGUAAAGGCCCACCAAGCCAACGAUCUGUAGCUGGUCUGAGAGGACGACCAGGCACACUGGAGCUGAGACACGGUCCGGACUGCUACGGGAGGCAGCAGUGGGGAAUUUUGGACAAUGGGCGUAAGCCUGAUCCAGCCAUUCCGCGUGCAGGAUGAAGGCCCUCGGGUUGUAAACUGCUUUUGUACAGAACGAAAAGGUUUCUACUAAUACUAGGAGCUCAUGACGGUACUGUAAGAAUAAGCACCGGCUAACUACGUGCCAGCAGCCGCGGUAA
Molecule: ribosomal RNA, 500 nt
Filed under: uncultured bacterium
Lineage: Bacteria
Description: partial 16S ribosomal RNA
Rfam family: Bacterial small subunit ribosomal RNA
Source: RNAcentral